RNAcentral lists this ribosomal RNA (325 nucleotides) under uncultured eukaryote. Its description in RNAcentral is "partial 18S ribosomal RNA". It matches the Rfam family "Eukaryotic small subunit ribosomal RNA", at positions 1470 to 1796 of the family's 1831-position model. The record is from RNAcentral.
CCCUUAGAUGUUCUGGGCCGCACGCGUGCUACACUGAGUGGAUCAGCGGGUCAGGUUGCGCGAAAGCGUUUCCUAAUCUUUAAAUCCGCUCGUGAUGGGGAUUGACGGUUGCAAUUUUCUGUCAUGAACGAGGAAUACCUUGUAAGCGCGGGUCAUCAUCCCGCGCUGAAUACGUCCCUGCCCUUUGUACACACCGCCCGUCGCUCCUACCGAUUGAAGUUUUCGGUGAGUUGACAGGAGGAUUUUUUUGAAACUGGUUCGCCAGUGGAUUUUAGAUCCAAAUGCCAACGAAUCGAUGGCUUUAGAGGAAGGAGAAGUCGUAACA